Molecule: long non-coding RNA, 308 nt
Filed under: Mytilus galloprovincialis (Mediterranean mussel)
Lineage: Eukaryota; Metazoa; Mollusca; Bivalvia; Mytilida; Mytilidae
Source: RNAcentral
UAAAAGUUAAAGGUAAGAUGGUGUUGCUUAAAUUGCAAAUCUUAUUUCAAGAAAGUACCAUUUGUUAAGUCAUUUUGAUAUUAAUUAUAAACUGAAUUCACAUUUUAUACAUUGUCCAGAAUUCAUACUUUCCUCGAAGGUAACUAUCAGUAUUCAUUACAGCCAUGCUGUUUACUAUUACUGUUCUGGACCAAUUCGUCUCUUAAAUGUUUUGGCUUCAUUUUGGGUUUAAACUUUAGGACUUGGGUAUAAAAUGGUUUAAAUGAUACAGUUUAAAAUCCCUACUUAGAGUAAGACAUUUCCCCCAC